UACGUAGGGUGCAAGCGUUAAUCGGAAUUACUGGGCGUAAAGCGUGCGCGGGCGGUUAUGUAAGACGGUUGUGAAAUCCCCGGGCUCAACCUGGGAACUGCAUCUGUGACUGCAUUGCUGGAGUGCGGCAGAGGGGGAUGGAAUUCCGCGUGUAGCAGUGAAAUGCGUAGAUAUGCGGAGGAACACCGAUGGCGAAGGCAAUCCCCUGGGCCUGCACUGACGCUCAUGCACGAAAGCGUGGGGAGCAAACAGG
This 253-nucleotide ribosomal RNA is filed under the name uncultured bacterium. RNAcentral's name for it is "partial 16S ribosomal RNA". It matches the Rfam family "Bacterial small subunit ribosomal RNA", at positions 524 to 776 of the family's 1533-position model. The record is from RNAcentral.